CACUAACCAUAGUAAACUUUGACAUAACACGGCGAGAUUGUGCAACACAGUACGGCGACCGGCAAGAAUAGGUUUGCAAAAUAGAAACAAAUCACUGAGCAACCCGAAGUAAACAGUUCGGUAAUUUGCAGGUUUUUGAAUGUGACUAUACCAACGGUUUUCAACCAUUUUGGGCUCACGGCUCUCCGGAUUUCGAAAACCAAAUUAUCGGCUCCUUUACGAGUGACGAUAAUGAUAAAAAAAAAAUUGUCCUG
This is a non-coding RNA of Cinara cedri, 254 nucleotides long. The record is from the annotation of a GenBank genome assembly. NCBI's taxonomy places the organism in Eukaryota, Metazoa, Arthropoda, Insecta, Hemiptera, Aphididae.